UGGAGUGCAGUGGAGACAUAAGAAUAAUUUUAAAUGCAAAUUAAAUUGUGGGGGUAGCAAAGAGAACAGAUAAAAGACAGUAAAACAAAGCCUUUCACUUUCCUCAAAUUAGCAGGCUAAUGUAAUAUAAAAAAAAUCAGUACUACUCAGAUCUGUGCUAAGAGCUUUCAUUUCAUCAUAAUAUAAAACAGCAGAUCCGUCACCUUUCUCUGUUCAGUACUCUUGAUUUCGAGGUUGAAGUGAAAAUUAGAAGCUGCUCAUUCUGGCUCACAGACUGGGGUUGCAUUUGCUUAGUCUUAUUCCAAGACAGGAGGAUGCAAAGAGGUCAGUAACACUGAGGAAGUCCAGUUGACGUUAUGCAUUAUUCAUCAGAGUUCCAAUCAAACAAUCAAAAUUGUUUGCUUACACUGGGGACAUUUAGUAAGAUCAAAGAAGCCCUCCUUGAAACUACUGGAGCAUACAUCACUGCCAGGCAGCUCAUGGUAUUUUGCAGAAUCUAAUUGAUCAUCAGUACAGGAGUAUUGUAGGCAAACACAAAGUUCCUUCAAAAUGGACUACUUUUUGGAUGUCGAGUCUGCUCACAGGCUGUUUUACAGUCAAGGAGCUCAAGCUCGUCGGGCAACUCUUCUCACUGUGCCCACACUGAUGUCACCAUCUUCUGAGGAGGACAUAGACCGGAGACCCAUCAGAAGACUCCGGUCUAAGAGUGACACCCCUUACCUAGAAGAGGCGAGGAUCUGCUUCAACCUUGAUACAGGUAAGCCCAUAUCCCUUC
Struthio camelus australis is the source of this 775-nucleotide non-coding RNA. The record is from RefSeq and is a predicted model, not a curated record. NCBI's taxonomy places the organism in Eukaryota, Metazoa, Chordata, Aves, Struthioniformes, Struthionidae.